AGGACGAACGCUGGCGGCGUGCUUAACACAUGCAAGUCGAACGGUGAAGCCUUUCGGGGUGGAUCAGUGGCGAACGGGUGAGUAACACGUGGGCAAUCUGCCCUGCAUUCUGGGACAAGCCUUGGAAACGAGGUCUAAUACCGGAUACGACGCAUCUCCGCAUGGGGUGUGCGUGGAAAGCUCCGGCGAUGCAGGAUGAGCCCGCGGCCUAUCAGCUUGUUGGUGGGGUAACUGCCUACCAAGGCGACGACGGGUA
RNAcentral lists this ribosomal RNA (256 nucleotides) under uncultured bacterium. RNAcentral describes it as "partial small subunit ribosomal RNA". It matches the Rfam family "Bacterial small subunit ribosomal RNA", at positions 26 to 285 of the family's 1533-position model. The record is from RNAcentral.